Non-coding RNA from Sulfitobacter sp., 50 nucleotides. Lineage: Bacteria; Pseudomonadati; Pseudomonadota; Alphaproteobacteria; Rhodobacterales; Roseobacteraceae. The record is from Rfam.
AUCGCGCCACAACGGCUUCCUGACGUGGCGUCUGCAUUUUAACUGGAGCA